RNAcentral lists this ribosomal RNA (1430 nucleotides) under metagenome. RNAcentral describes it as "bacterial SSU rRNA". It matches the Rfam family "Archaeal small subunit ribosomal RNA". The record is from RNAcentral.
GUUGAUCCUGCGGGAGGCUGCUGCUAUCAGGGUUCGAUUUAACCAUGCAAGUCAGGGGGUUCUUCGGAACACCGGCAGAAUGCUCAGUAACACGUCAAUAAUCUGGUCUUAGGUCCAGGAUAACCUUGGUAAACUGAGGCUAACACUGGAUAGGAUAUCAAUUCUGGAACGAGGAUAUCUCAAAAGUAAUGCCUAAGAAUGAGUUGGCGGCUGAUUAGGUAGUUGAUGGUGUAAAGUACCACCAAGCCAAUGAUCAGUAGGGGCCUUGAGAGAGGGAGCCCCGAGAAGGGCACAGAGAUACUUGCCCUAGCCCUACGGGGUGCAGCAGGUGCGAAACCUUUACAAUGCACGAAAGUGUGAUAAGGGAACCCUGAGUGCCUAUGUUUUCAUAGGCUUUUGUUAAGGGUAAAUACCUUAGCGAAUAAGUGGUGGGUAAGACUGGUGCCAGCCGCCGCGGUAACACCAGCGCCACGAGUAGGAGCCGCGUUUAUUGGGUCUAAAGUGUCUGUAGCUGGAUAAGUAACUCUUUUGUGAAAUUGUCAAGCUUAACUUGACAGCUUGCAGAAGAAACUGCUUGUCUUGGGACUGGAAGGAGUCAGGAGUAUUUCUGGGGGAGCGGUAAAAUGCUAUAAUCCCAGAAGGACUACCUGUGGCGAAGGCGCCUGACUAGUACAGGUCCGACAGUGAGAGACGAAAGCCAGGGGAGCGAACCGGAUUAGAUACCCGAGUAGUCCUGGCUGUAAACGCUGCGAGCAAGGUGUUGCAUAUUCUACGUGGAUAUGCAGUGUUGAAACGAAGGUGUUAAGCUCGCCACCUGGGGAGUACGGUCGCAAGGCUGAAACUUAAAGGAAUUGGCGGGGGAGCGCCACAAGGGGUGCGGCGUGCGGUUUAAUCUAAUUCAACACAGAGAAUCUCACCAGGGGCGACGGCAGGAUGAAAGUCAAUCUAAAGGGUUUACUUGACGAGCCGAGAGGUAGUGCAUGGCCGUCGUCAGCUCGUGCCGCGAGGUGUCCUCUUAAGUGAGGCAACGAGCGAGAUCUGUAUCUACACUUGCUAACAAAUCCUUCAGGAUGAUUGAGCACACUGUAGAGACUGCCUUGGAAACAAGGAGGAAGGUGCAGGCGACGAUAGGUCUGUAUGCUCCGAAUCCUCUGGGCUACACGCGCGCAACAAUGGUAGGAACAAUGGGCCACAACUCCGAAAGGAGAAGUUAAUCCUCGAAAUCCUAUCCAAGUCCAGAUUGAGGGUUGUAACUCACCCUCAUGACGAUGGAAUCCCUAGUAAUUGGGUGUUAUCAGCGCCCAGUGAAUAUGUCCCCGCUCCUUGCACACACUGCCCGUCAAAUCAACCGAGCAGGGUUUUGAUGAGGCUUAAUCAUUAGGUUGAGUCGAAUCUAAGCUCAGUGAGGUGGGUUAAGUCGUCACAAGGUA